UACGUAGGUGGCAAGCGUUGUCCGGAUUUAUUGGGUUUAAAGGGUGCGUAGGCGGUUUUGUAAGUCAGUGGUGAAAUAUGUCAGCUUAACUGAGAGGGUGCCAUUGAUACUGCAGAACUUGAGUACAGAUGAGGUAGGCGGAAUUGACGGUGUAGCGGUGAAAUGCUUAUAUAUCGUUAAGAACUCCUAUAGCGAAGGCAGCUUACUAGGCUGUAACUGACGCUGGGGCACUAAAGUGUGGGGAUCAAACAGG
This 253-nucleotide ribosomal RNA is filed under the name uncultured bacterium. RNAcentral's name for it is "partial 16S ribosomal RNA". It matches the Rfam family "Bacterial small subunit ribosomal RNA", at positions 524 to 776 of the family's 1533-position model. The record is from RNAcentral.